Molecule: ribosomal RNA, 497 nt
Filed under: uncultured bacterium
Lineage: Bacteria
Description: partial 16S ribosomal RNA
Rfam family: Bacterial small subunit ribosomal RNA
Source: RNAcentral
GAUGAACGCUGGCGGCGUGCCUAAUACAUGCAAGUCGAGCGAACGGACGAGAAGCUUGCUUCUCUGAUGUUAGCGGCGGACGGGUGAGUAACACGUGGAUAACCUACCUAUAAGACUGGGAUAACUUCGGGAAACCGUAGCUAAUACCGGAUAAUAUUUUGAACCGCAUGGUUCAAAAGUGAAAGACGGUCUUGCUGUCACUUAUAGAUGGAUCCGCGCUGCAUUAGCUAGUUGGUAAGGCAACGGCUUACCAAGGCAACGAUGCAUAGCCGACCUGAGAGGGUGAUCGGCCACACUGGAACUGAGACACGGUCCAGACUCCUACGGGAGGCAGCAGUAGGGAAUCUUCCGCAAUGGGCGAAAGCCUGACGGAGCAACGCCGCGUGAGUGAUGAGGGUCUUCGGAUCGUAAAACUCUGUUAUUAGGGAAGAACAUAUGUGUAAGUAACUGUGCACAUCUUGACGGUACCUAAUCAGAAAGCCACGGCUAACUACGUG